This 1306-nucleotide ribosomal RNA is filed under the name Clostridiaceae bacterium SR071. Its description in RNAcentral is "bacterial SSU rRNA". It matches the Rfam family "Bacterial small subunit ribosomal RNA". Lineage: Bacteria; Bacillati; Bacillota; Clostridia; Eubacteriales; Clostridiaceae. The record is from RNAcentral.
GCGAUGAACCGUCGGGGGGGGAUGGCGGCGGACGGGUGAGUAACACGUGGGUAACGUGCCUCAAAGUGGGGGAUAGCCUUCCGAGAGUGGAUUAAUACCGCAUAAAGCCAAGUUUCACAUGGAAUUUGGAUGACAGGAGUAAUUCGCUUUGAGAUGGACCCGCGGCGCAUUAGUUAGUUGGUGGGGUAAUGGCCUACCAAGACAGCGAUGCGUAGCGACCUGAGAGGGUGAUCGGCCACCUUGGAACUGAGAUACGGUCCAGACUCCUACGGGAGGCAGCAGUGGGGAAUAUUGCACAAUGGGCGAUACGUGGAAUGCAGCAACGCCGCGUGAGUGAUGAGGUCUUCGGAUUGUAAGCUCUGUCUUUUGGGACGAUAAUGACGGUACCAAGGAGGAGCACGGCUACUACGUGCCAGCAGCCGCGGUAUACGUGUGCGAGCGUGUCCGAUACUGCGUAAGGUGCGUAGCGAUGUCUAAGUGAGAUUACCGGCUACUUGGUGCUGCAUUUCAACUGUUCUAGAGUCCAGAGAGGAGAAUGAAUCUAGUUAGCGUAAAUGCGUAGAGAUUAGGAAGACACCAGUUGCGAAGCGAUUCUCUGACUGUAACUGACGCUAGCACGAAAGCGUGGUAGCAAACAGAUAGAUACCUGGUAGUCCACGCCGUAAACGAUGAGUACUACGUGUAAGGAGGUAUCGACCCCUUCUGUGCCGCCAGUAAACACAUUAAGUACUCCGCCUGGAAGUACGAUCGCAAGAUUAAAACUCAAAGAAUUGACGGGGCCCGCACAAGCAGCAGAGCAUGUGGUUUAAUUCGAAGCAACGCGAAGAACCUUACCUGGACUUGACAUCCCCUGAAUAACCUAGAGAUAGGCGAAACCUUCGGGGCAGGGAGACAGGUGGUGCAUGGUUGUCGUCAGCUCGUGUCGUGAGAUGUUAGGUUAAGUCCUGCAACGAGCGCAACCCUUAUUGUUAGUUGCUAACAUUCAGUUGAGCACUCUAACGAGACUGCCGCGGUUAACGCGGAGGAAGGUGGGGAUGACGUCAAAUCAUCAUGCCCCUUAUGUCCAGGGCAACACACGUGCUACAAUGGGCAGAACAAAGAGAAGCAAUACCGCGAGGUGGAGCCAAACUCAAAAACUGCUCUCAGUUCGGAUUGCAGGCUGAAACUCGCCUGCAUGAAGCUGGAGUUGCUAGUAAUCGCGAAUCAGCAUGUCGCGGUGAAUACGUUCCCGGGCCUUGUACACACCGCCCGUCACACCAUGAGAGCUGCAACACCCGAAGUCCGUAGUCUAACGUAAGAGACGCGC